This 376-nucleotide ribosomal RNA is filed under the name Metaphire sieboldi (earthworm). RNAcentral describes it as "partial 16S ribosomal RNA". It matches the Rfam family "Bacterial large subunit ribosomal RNA", at positions 1926 to 2541 of the family's 2925-position model. Lineage: Eukaryota; Metazoa; Annelida; Clitellata; Crassiclitellata; Megascolecidae. The record is from RNAcentral.
AACGGCCGCGGUAUCCUAACCGUGCAAAGGUAGCAUAAUCACUUGCCUAUUAAUUGUAGGCUAGAAUGAAUGGGUUAACGAAAUAAAGACUGUCUCAAUUAAUCACCUAAAAAUUGCUAUCUAUCUGAAGAAGAGUAGAUAAUCUCGAAGGACAAGAAGACCCUAUAGAGCUUAAUUUUAAUUAUAGAGCUACACUAUAAAAAUAUUCGGUUGGGGCGACCCAGGGCUAAUCAAUCACCCACUACAUAAAAGAUAAAUUAAUCAAGUAAUUGACCCCUAAAAGAUCAUAAGAACAAGCUACCUUAGGGAUAACAGGCUAAUCCCACUCAAGAGUCCUUAUCAACAGUGGGGUUUGGCACCUCGAUGUUGGCUUAGG